AGCGAACGCUGGCGGCAGGCCUAACACAUGCAAGUCGAACGAACCUUUCGGGGUUAGUGGCGGACGGGUGAGUAACACGUGGGAACGUGCCUUUAGGUUCGGAAUAACUCAGGGAAACUUGUGCUAAUACCGAAUGUGCCCUUCGGGGGAAAGAUUUAUCGCCUUUAGAGCGGCCCGCGUCUGAUUAGCUAGUUGGUUGAGGUAAUGGCUCACCUAGGCGACGAUCAGUAGCUGGUCUGAGAGGAUGAUCAGCCACAUUGGGACUGAGACACGGCCCAAACUCCUACGGGAGGCAGCAGUGGGGAAUCUUGCGCAAUGGGCGAAAGCCUGACGCAGCCAUGCCGCGUGAAUGAUGAAGGUCUUAGGAUUGUAAAAUUCUUUCACCGGGGACGAUAAUGACGGUACCCGGAGAAGAAGCCCCGGCUAACUUCGUG
This 434-nucleotide ribosomal RNA is filed under the name uncultured bacterium. RNAcentral's name for it is "partial 16S ribosomal RNA". It matches the Rfam family "Bacterial small subunit ribosomal RNA", at positions 29 to 507 of the family's 1533-position model. The record is from RNAcentral.